AUGCAGCUGGGAAACCAGCCACCACCGUCAAGUUAUAAAACGGCUUUAUCAUCCCCGCUCCCCAAAUCCCUCGUGCCCCUUGCGCACUCUCCCGCCCUCCUACCCCUGGCCACCGCCCUGCCUCUUCCAGGCCCUGCGGUGUCUGGAAUCACGGCCACGCUGUCCGCCUCGCAGCUUCUUCUCAUUGCCGAGUUGGAUCCCGCCGAGUGGGUGAACACCAGGGGCGCUCAUCUAAAACUUUCAGAAGCAACAGAAACAGUAUCGGAAAGAUCAAAGUCCCUCUCAAGCCCCCCACUGUCCGCCCUCUCGUUGGUUCAUUCACUCGCUCCGUGUUUGAGUGACUGCUGUGGGUUUGGAUUCUGGGGACUCAGUGGUGACUGAGACAAAACCCCUGCCUUCAUGAGGCUCGUUUACAAUGAGAUCGAAAUUUUGCCCAACAGAAAUGUAACCAAAUCAUAUUUGCGGCGUUGUUGUCUAUUUUUUAAAAAUUUCCAUUUAGUGAUACACUGUGAGCAUUUUCCUUUGUUAAUGUAGAGAAAACCACAAAAUCGGAUCGUUACUCUUCUCCAUUGUUUUUCUUUAAUAAGGAGACAUUGACUGUAUCAUUUAAUUGAUGCGUGUUCAUCUGUGUAUCUUUCGUUUUUAUUCCCCCCCACACACACACAGAUGGCUCCCUCGUCUGCUUGUUGUUUCUGCUUGUUGUCUGCUUGUUUCUUCUUUUUUUAGGAGGCACUGGGGACCUAACCUCCUAAUUGGGAGGCGGGUGCCCAAUUGCUGGAGCCACAUCCACUGCCUGCUUGUUUUUGUUUUUGUUCCGUCUGCUCGUUGUCUGCUCCCUGUUUUCCCCCCGCUGCUCGAUGUCUGCUUGUUGUGUGCUCGUCCUCUUUAGGAGCCACCGGGAACUGAACCCGGGACCUCUCACGUGGAGGGUGAGCCCCACCUGCCUGAGCCACGUCUGCUUCCCAAUCUGUGCAUCUUUCUGAACACUAGAGGAACGACUGAGUUAGCAGGUGGAAUUAGAUGAGAUUUUUAAAAGUGCCCGAAAAAGAACUUUUCACGGGUAAUGUUCCCAUAACUUGUUGAGCUGCCUUUUUCUGUUCUUUUAUAUAUAUGAAUUUGAAAUAAAGUUGUUAAUUUUAAAAAUCAGAUCAUUAAGAAUAUUUUAAAAGUAAUUUUUGAUUUGGUAAUAUAUUCACGUUUCAAAAUAAAACAGAGCACACGAAGGCACCAAGUUCAAGUCUGCCUCACAUCCCCUGCCCCUGUGGGAACCUGCCCAGUCCUCCCGGCAAGCAUUUUUACUUGUUUCUUAUGAGUCUUUCCAGAGUUUUUGGUACUUGAGUACAAGCAACUUUAAAUACAGACUCCUCCCACCCAUUUUUUAAGCCCGAAGUCAGCGUGUGAUACCCGGUGACGCUCCCCUGCGUUUUCGCCCGGGCAGCGUGUCCUGCGCUUCGUCACAUGGGCAGGUGAGGGCGUCUGCCUUCUUUUCUGUGGCGGCGCAGGAGUCGCCUGCAGGACCACGGGGUGCUGUUAACCCUUGACACGAGCCCUAAUCACGGUCUGGGAUACCUCUGGGUCAUUGUGUCGUUUUAUCACGGCGCCUGAUCCUCCGUCCUGUGGACACGCCCUGUGGCCUCGGCAGUGCCCUGGGGUGGGCAGUGUGUCACAGGUGAGUGUGCCUGCACAGCUGUGGCUGCCCACCUGCCCAGUCGUCAUUUUCUUAGGAAAAUGAUCCCCACCGCAGCGUGGAUCGAAUGCUCCCCACGGGCCGGGGGCUGGGCCAGGUAAUCAUCUCACGGAAUCCUCUCACCCAGCCCAAGGAGCGGGGAGGCUACAGACGAGGG
Molecule: long non-coding RNA, 1844 nt
Filed under: Dasypus novemcinctus (nine-banded armadillo)
Lineage: Eukaryota; Metazoa; Chordata; Mammalia; Cingulata; Dasypodidae
Description: lncRNA (ENSDNOG00000050043.1)
Source: RNAcentral